CAAAGAGCAGAGCCCAUCUCCUAGGAGCCGGCCCUGUCCCGCGCUGCAGCCCGGCCCCCGGGAGGCCCUGGAUCCCGCCGCCUCCCAGAUGCCUGCAGAGGGCGUCCGUGUCCGCAGAGCCAGCCCGCGGCCUACCCAGCCGUGCGGGAGGUGGCUGCUUGGCUGCUCCCGUUAGGUGGCUGAACUCGCCAGCCAGACGGCAUUCAGAAUACGGAAGCAGAAAGAUCUGCAGGCGGCUGCGUACCCUGGCUGUGAAUUAUUAUUCCGAGCACAUGGCUGUUGUAAAAUUACACUAUCUGCUUAUGUAGGAAGGGAGAAACGCAGUCAUUAUUUAUGUGGCUCAAUGAUCCCGUUUACGUGUUUCUUUUCUUCAUAUUCAGUGUCCACUGCUCCCUGGCUCUGCGUGCACCGUGCUUAGAGAAGGAGGCUGAAAGAACUCCAAAAGCCUGGAGAAGAGAAGGCUGUGAGGUGACCUGAUAGUGGCCUUUCGGUAUCUAAAUGGGAGCUACAGGAAAGAAGGGAACAGACUCUUUCGCGGGGUCUGUGGUGAUAGAAUAAGGGGAAAUGGCUUCAAGCUUCAAGGGGGUAGAUUUUGGUGGGAUAUAAGGAAAAAAUCUUUUACAGUGGGGGUGGUGAGGCACUAGCAAAGGUUGCCGGAGAUGUGGUUAGUGCUCCAUCCCUGAAGGCUUUCAAGGCAAGGCUGGAUCUGGUCCCUGAUCUAGCUGUGCAUGUUCCUGUUCAUUGCAGGGGAGUUGGACUAGCUGACCUUUAAAGGUCCCUUCCAACUCUAAGGAUUCUGUGAUUCUAUGAUUCUGUGAUACAGGAGUAUCACUUCGUUGGUCAGGGAUUUGAAAAUGAUGGCUCUAUGUCCUGCAAGAUGUGGCAGGCUCUGAGGUACUGAGACAUGACUUCCUAUGCACAGCAUAGUGCAUAAGGUCACUUUUUGUUUAAUGCAUGGACUUGCAGUGUAAGAAACACUCUGGCUGAGACCACUGUUUUGCCUUUUGUGCAAACUCAACCUUUCUGAAGUGCUUUCUCAACUUGCACUCACAAAGGUGGGUGCAGGCACAGCUUGGCUUGGCCUCUCAGAGGUAUCAUCCUAUUGACUCCACACAGAGUGGAUUUCACAGGCACCUUCGACACUAUCUAUCUUUGGUACUAGAACUGAUAAAGGGAGAUUCAAGCCAUCGUAGAGUAUGUACUAUAUAUGCUGCCACCCUGUCCUCUACCUAUUUUCCUACCUACACAUUAACAAACUAACUUACAUUCAUUUCUUCUCUAAAUUUGAGAAAAUUGUGGAUGAAAUCACAUGGUAUAGUGAACAGAAUGUGGUUUGAUGUGGGAUUUUGCAGCCUGUGGAUGAAUAGUUGUGCUGGCACUGCCGUGCAGUGUGUUCCUGGGCUGGGGGUGAGGUGAUAGCAUGAGGAUCAUGAUUGCUGCACAGCUUCUUUCCCUCAGUGGCUCAAAGGCAGUGCACAGGUAGAAAGAUAAAUGUUUGUGUUUUGUGAGUCUGUUAUGCCCAUGGUGGAUAAAGGGCUGGAUAAAUCCUCCUGGCUGUCUAAUGAAGAAAACAGUGCUUCACUAAUAUUUGCCAAGUCCACCUGGGAGUCAUCAGUAUGCAGCUGUGUCCUCCAUCCUCUCCCUUCAAGCUGGGAUUUAACUACUGCCUUUUCUGCUUUCUACAAACGUUGAUUUUCACUUGUCCAUCGGAUGAAUAUUAACUGGCAGCUGGAAAGCUGCUCCUGGUACACCUGAGCUACUGCCCUGGCUCCCACUUUGCUCAACUGAUGUGUUAUAGGUUUUAAUAAAUGCAAACAGAAAAGAAGGAGGCAACAUGUUUGAACAACCAGUGGUUAUCUUGGAAAUGCUGGGAUGGAUGCCUCUUCUUGCAGGGCAUAGAUUUGGGCAAAAUAUUAAAAAAUUAUUAAGCUGUGUUCUCUGCAUGUUAGAAUAUGCCGAUAUACAUUUUGUAAAUAUAGGUCACCAUUGUUAUUUGAUAUUUACUUUGUAAUGCAGUGGAUCUCCUUAUGUACAAGGUAGUGACAUCAGAAGACAUUUUGAGUCUAAAGGGCAAUAUGUCUGGAAUAAAUAAUAUUUCUUAUUCCAGGAAUUGUUUAUUCUGAGUAACAGGAAUACUUCUGAAUUAUUAUCUUGACAUGAUGCUCUAUGUCACCCAGUCCCUUUUCUGUCAUAUUUCUCUCAUUAACCCUCUUGAGCUGUCCAGCAAUGAUGAGCUUUUUCCAGUAAUAAGAAAUAUGAAUUUGUAUUACCACUGUAUGUGCCUACACUCUGCAGAGAUCCUCUGUAGUUCGUGGCCUCAAUAGAGCAGCACUGUUUUAUCUCUAAAUGUAACAUUUUGUCCAUUUUUCACACAUUGCAUUUUACUUUUCUGCUGCAAGAAGGAUCAAAUGAAAACAACGGAUUUGCUUUCAGAUAUAUGUCCCUGUUUAAAUCAGUUACUCAGGUGAGUAGUGACUUCAGGUACCUUUGUGCCUCUAAACAUUUUUAUGACAAGGUCUGGAUCCCUUCAAUUUCUUAGAUUAAAAAAAAAAAAAAAAAAGGAAAAAAAAGCAUUCAAAAAGAUUUGUUCUAAUCUCAUUUUCACCUCUCUGUAUGAGCUUGCCAAAUCUCCCAGCAGAUCUCAUUACUGUGGAGGUUUUGUACAGUUCCAGUCAAAAGAUUCAUUUGAUUUUGAGCAAAACCUAGCCUUCUACCAAAACAAAAUCUACAGUAAUAAUAGUAAUAAUAACAAUAAUUAUAAUAAAAAGAAAAAAAGGAUUCAUGGCCUAUGUGACUGAGCACAAAACCCCAGACACUUAACAAACAAAUAGAAUAAAAGGACAAACAAACAAACAAAGAAAUAUUGUUUUUCCACUUUCAUGAUUAUUAAUAAAAAAUUUCUCUCUUGUGGGUUUUAACACAGGCUUUAUAAGUGUUUGAGAUUGCCAAAAUUACAUCCCAACUUCAUGAAAGCUUAUUUAAUUAUCACUUCCGUAAGCUGAUAGUACAUUUUAAGGACAACAUACUAUUCCAGCCAGCUAAGAAAAAGAGAGAGGUGGAUCUUGGAUGUAAUGAUGCAUGGAGGAGGUACUUCUGGGACAUCUGAACUCCAAGGAAGAGCAAUAAAAAGGAGUUUCAGAAUUGCCAUUGAACUGUGACUCUCAAUAGCUCAUCUGAAUGAUGCUUCAAGAUCAUCUUCAUUUACUUACUUAGAGAAGGUGUUUGAGUCCAUGAGUCCACGCACAUGCUGGGUCUACACAUGGGACAUCCUAAUAUAUUUUGAACUCUAUGAGAAUUGGAAGAGAUAGCUUGUUGGCAAAAACUUGAUUACUGGAUUGUUUUAAAAGUGGAAUAAAUUAACUCUUAUGUUGAAUUGAAUUACGUUGACUUACUUACUUUUUAGAAAUCUGCUCAGAUCAAACCAAGGAGGGCUGAAAACUUCAUGGAAUCACAGAAUCCUAGGGGUUGAAAGGGACCUCGGAAGAUCUUCUGGCUCCUACACAUAGCAAUAGGUAUGGUGCUGUAUCACCUUAUUGACUCUGCUACAAUUUAUCCACAUUCUGGCAUCAGUUCAAAGGAUGCCGGAAUAUGAGACCAUUUAAAAGCUAAGCAAAUUAGAGUGUCAGUAGAAUAGCAGCUAAAUGCAUAUGUAAGCACUUCAGUACAAGUGAACUGCUUUCAAGCACCUGCAGCUCCCCUGAAUUCAGUACAAGAAAUCUUAGGAAGUUAGGUUACAAAUUCCUAGGGAUAACAAAGCCCCAGUCCCCUAAAACAUAGGUUUCUAAAACACAGCCCAAGUCUAACAGUAUCUUGUGGAGUUGGAAGCUUUAAAUAGAGAACAUGAGGUCAUGUCCUCAUUGCUACACAACCAUUCUUGUUAGCAAUUCAACACUACCCCGAGAUGCUGUUUCUCAAAAACGUAUUUUCUUCUUUUCUGUUAUUCCUCUCUCUUUUUUUUUCUCCUUGAUUUUUAUCUAUUUUACUUGUUUAUUUAAUAGAGUUUUUGCUUUA
RNAcentral lists this long non-coding RNA (4011 nucleotides) under Gallus gallus (chicken). The record is from RNAcentral. Lineage: Eukaryota; Metazoa; Chordata; Aves; Galliformes; Phasianidae.